Molecule: ribosomal RNA, 834 nt
Filed under: Bacillus sp. JE15
Lineage: Bacteria; Bacillati; Bacillota; Bacilli; Caryophanales; Bacillaceae
Description: bacterial SSU rRNA
Rfam family: Bacterial small subunit ribosomal RNA
Source: RNAcentral
UAGCGGCGGACGGGUGAGUAACACGUGGGUAACCUGCCUGUAAGACUGGGAUAACUCCGGGAAACCGGAGCUAAUACCGGAUAGUUCCUUGAACCGCAUGGUUCAAGGAUGAAAGACGGUUUCGGCUGUCACUUACAGAUGGACCCGCGGCGCAUUAGCUAGUUGGUGGGGUAAUGGCUCACCAAGGCGACGAUGCGUAGCCGACCUGAGAGGGUGAUCGGCCACACUGGGACUGAGACACGGCCCAGACUCCUACGGGAGGCAGCAGUAGGGAAUCUUCCGCAAUGGACGAAAGUCUGACGGAGCAACGCCGCGUGAGUGAUGAAGGUUUUCGGAUCGUAAAGCUCUGUUGUUAGGGAAGAACAAGUGCGAGAGUAACUGCUCGCACCUUGACGGUACCUAACCAGAAAGCCACGGCUAACUACGUGCCAGCAGCCGCGGUAAUACGUAGGUGGCAAGCGUUGUCCGGAAUUAUUGGGCGUAAAGGGCUCGCAGGCGGUUUCUUAAGUCUGAUGUGAAAGCCCCCGGCUCAACCGGGGAGGGUCAUUGGAAACUGGGAAACUUGAGUGCAGAAGAGGAGAGUGGAAUUCCACGUGUAGCGGUGAAAUGCGUAGAGAUGUGGAGGAACACCAGUGGCGAAGGCGACUCUCUGGUCUGUAACUGACGCUGAGGAGCGAAAGCGUGGGGAGCGAACAGGAUUAGAUACCCUGGUAGUCCACGCCGUAAACGAUGAGUGCUAAGUGUUAGGGGGUUUCCGCCCCUUAGUGCUGCAGCUAACGCAUUAAGCACUCCGCCUGGGGAGUACGGUCGCAAGACUGAAACUCAAAGGAUGCG